CGCUGACGAGUGGCGGACGGGUGAGUAAUGUCUGGGAAACUGCCUGAUGGAGGGGGAUAACUACUGGAAACGGUGGCUAAUACCGCAUAACGUCGCAAGACCAAAGAGGGGGACCUUCGGGCCUCUUGCCAUCAGAUGUGCCCAGAUGGGAUUAGCUAGUUGGUGAGGUAACGGCUCACCAAGGCGACGAUCCCUAGCUGGUCUGAGAGGAUGACCAGCCACACUGGAACUGAGACACGGUCCAGACUCCUACGGGAGGCAGCAGUGGGGAAUAUUGCACAAUGGGCGCAAGCCUGAUGCAGCCAUGCCGCGUGUAUGAAGAAGGCCUUCGGGUUGUAAAGUACUUUCAGCGGGGAGG
RNAcentral lists this ribosomal RNA (358 nucleotides) under Salmonella enterica subsp. enterica serovar Newport. Its description in RNAcentral is "bacterial SSU rRNA". It matches the Rfam family "Bacterial small subunit ribosomal RNA", at positions 86 to 447 of the family's 1533-position model. The record is from RNAcentral. RNAcentral also lists the same sequence under 1 other name. Lineage: Bacteria; Pseudomonadati; Pseudomonadota; Gammaproteobacteria; Enterobacterales; Enterobacteriaceae.